Molecule: transfer RNA, 92 nt
Filed under: Lentisphaeria bacterium
Lineage: Bacteria; Pseudomonadati; Lentisphaerota; Lentisphaeria
Also listed under: 1 other name
Description: tRNA-Ser
Rfam family: tRNA
About the family: Transfer RNA (tRNA) molecules are approximately 80 nucleotides in length. Their secondary structure includes four short double-helical elements and three loops (D, anti-codon, and T loops). Further hydrogen bonds mediate the characteristic L-shaped molecular structure. tRNAs have two regions of fundamental functional importance: the anti-codon, which is responsible for specific mRNA codon recognition, and the 3' end, to which the tRNAs corresponding amino acid is attached (by aminoacyl-tRNA synthetases). tRNAs cope with the degeneracy of the genetic code in two manners: having more than one tRNA (with a specific anti-codon) for a particular amino acid; and 'wobble' base-pairing, i.e. permitting non-standard base-pairing at the 3rd anti-codon position.
Source: RNAcentral
GGAGAGGUAAUCCGAAAGAUUCCGGGUAGCGGAGACGAUCUUGAAAAUCGUUUGUCUGAAAAGGUGUGUGAGUUCGAAUCUCACUCUCUCUG